RNAcentral lists this ribosomal RNA (522 nucleotides) under Triticum aestivum (bread wheat). RNAcentral describes it as "partial small subunit ribosomal RNA". Lineage: Eukaryota; Viridiplantae; Streptophyta; Magnoliopsida; Poales; Poaceae. The record is from RNAcentral.
AUGAACGGCGUUCAUGAUGAGCAGACACUAGACUCAAUCUGGAUAAGAAGCGAUACACCGUACCGGAUCGAAAUCAGCCUCAGAAUGCUGAAGGACACACUAUUUGUUACUUCAGCAAGCCUACAUCCCGAAUGCUUCAAUCUCGCUGUUCGUAAGCUUGCGAGCGCUGAAGUAGAGAGGCAUGCAGGCACCAACAUGGUUGGAGGAAAACAUUAUUUUGACUUGCAGUUUCAUGCUCAAUCACGAGCUCUAAGGUAUUCCUGGAUGCCGCAAGGGCAGCGCACCUCGACGCUGAUCAACAAUGCUGUUCUACAGCCCUUUCCUAGAUAUGAUGUGUUCAACUCCACAAUUUAUCUACUUCCUUUGUCUAUCCCGGAUUCCUCGUAUGGUCUACUCGUGGAUCCAAUUAUGCUCAGAAGCCAAGUGGUAGUCCAGAUGCUCAUGGUGAAAGACAAUCUAGCUGCUGGAAACAUCCCUCAGGAGAUUACGGUGGCCUUGAGGCGCUCUCCUUUGCGCGGUUAA